This is a long non-coding RNA of Ricinus communis (castor bean), 571 nucleotides long. RefSeq lists it as uncharacterized. NCBI's taxonomy places the organism in Eukaryota, Viridiplantae, Streptophyta, Magnoliopsida, Malpighiales, Euphorbiaceae. The record is from RefSeq and is a predicted model, not a curated record. The transcript is spliced from 3 exons.
CGCAUAAAUUUACAAAUGACUGUAUAUAUGUAUAUAUAUUCUGGUAUUUCGGCACAAAAAGCCAAGCAAACGAGAAGAUUUUUACCGUUGGGAAAAACCUGAAUUUGAGGCGGUGAUCAGACAUCCGCCGGAGAGAGGAGCAACGGAACUGAACUCUGAAAAGGAGAGGGGGAAGGAGGCCUGUGUACUGAUCAGAGGCAGUUGCUGGUUGCUUGGUUUUGUUAACAAUGGAGAGAGGCUUAUUCAAGUUUCUUUUAUUGGUCAUCUUCAUCUUCCUCCUUGCUGCAUAUGGUACGUGGCUAAGCAUGGAACUGUUGGAAGGAGGAGGAGCAGAAGCAUUUGAAUUACAUUGUCCUCGCAUGAUAGAUUGCAGCAAAGUCUGCAAUGGUUUCCCUAAUUGUUGUAUUGAUGGCAGGUGCCAAUGUAUUCCUUGUCCUUCUAACUCCUAAUUUCCUUUGUUUCUUGGAAAAUCUUAUUACCAUUACAAUACAUAUUGCUGUAUAGAAUUGUAUGAGAUUCAAAGGGUCUGUUUGGGUUGCCACUAAGUCAAAAAUUUAAAUUGUUCCGUCCA